This is a long non-coding RNA of Ostrea edulis (European flat oyster), 516 nucleotides long. RefSeq lists it as uncharacterized. The transcript has 4 exons. NCBI's taxonomy places the organism in Eukaryota, Metazoa, Mollusca, Bivalvia, Ostreida, Ostreidae. The record is from RefSeq and is a predicted model, not a curated record.
GAGAUUGCGAGUGACGUUGACACAUGCAAGGAAUUUGUUUAUGUGUGCCAUGCAAAUAUCGACAAAAUGUGGAGUAUUUGAAAUAUAUGACAUGGGAUAUAUGGAAUAUAUAUGUGAAACGCUGAGAAUUUAUUGAUAUUAAGAAGCUGCCUUUUCAGAAACUUUACUGCACAUCUACAGGAUACUUCGGAUCAUGUUCCAAAGGAUGAAUUGGCUGCGUAAAUUGUAGGAGGAAUUGGAGGAAGAAGAUGGCGUGACAGACAGAUAGAGCGGACUAACAACAGAUUACCCGAACUUUCGUGAUACAUUGCGGAGUGAUGCCGAUCGAUACCAGAACCAAACUCAAGCUUACAGCACUGAUGACGAAGGGAACUGAAAAUGUAAAGAUUCAUUCUGAAGAUGGGCAUCGGCGCUAGAUGUAGACUCUGCCCACUCAUAGAUGAUUGGAUUUUUAGAUCCGAUUUCCUCUUCCUCUUCAUCUAUUGAAAUAUCAUCUGUCAUGUAGUCAAAUUACGA